RNAcentral lists this ribosomal RNA (427 nucleotides) under uncultured beta proteobacterium. RNAcentral's name for it is "bacterial SSU rRNA". It matches the Rfam family "Bacterial small subunit ribosomal RNA", at positions 355 to 774 of the family's 1533-position model. The record is from RNAcentral. Lineage: Bacteria; Pseudomonadati; Pseudomonadota; Betaproteobacteria.
UCGGGAAUUUUGGACAAUGGGCGAAAGCCUGAUCCAGCCAUGCCGCGUGAGUGAAGAAGGCCUUCGGGUUGUAAAGCUCUUUUAGUCGGAAAGAAAGAGUUGCAAUGAAUAAUUGUGAUUUAUGACGGUACCGACAGAAAAAGCACCGGCUAACUACGUGCCAGCAGCCGCGGUAAUACGUAGGGUGCGAGCGUUAAUCGGAAUUACUGGGCGUAAAGGGUGCGCAGGCGGUCUUGCAAGUCAGAUGUGAAAGCCCCGGGCUUAACCUGGGAAUUGCGUUUGAAACUACAAGACUAGAGUGCAGCAGAGGGGAGUGGAAUUCCAUGUGUAGCAGUGAAAUGCGUAGAGAUGCGGAAGAACACCGAUGGCGAAGGCAGCUCCCUGGGUUGACACUGACGCUCAUGCACGAAAGCGUGGGGAGCAAACA